Molecule: ribosomal RNA, 756 nt
Filed under: uncultured bacterium
Lineage: Bacteria
Description: bacterial SSU rRNA
Rfam family: Bacterial small subunit ribosomal RNA
Source: RNAcentral
AGAGUUUGAUCAUGGCUCAGAAUCAACGCUGGCGGCGUGCCUAACACAUGCAAGUCGAACGAGAAAGUGGAGCAAUCCACGAGUAAAGUGGCGACCGGGUGAGUAACACGUGACUAACCUACCUUCGAGUGGGGGAUAACAUCGGGAAACCGAUGCUAAUACCGCAUAACAUCGCAAGAUCAAAGCAGCAAUGCGCUUGAAGAGGGGGUCGCGGCUGAUUAGCUAGUUGGUAGGGUAAUGGCCUACCAAGGCUUAGAUCGGUAGCCGGCCUGAGAGGGCGCACGGCCACACUGGAACUGAAACACGGUCCAGACUCCUACGGGAGGCAGCAGUGGGGAAUUUUGCGCAAUGGGGGAAACCCUGACGCAGCAACGCCGCGUGGAGGAUGAAGUCCCUUGGGACGUAAACUCCUUUCGACCGGGAAGAUACUGACGGUACCGGAAGAAGAAGCACCGGCUAACUCUGUGCCAGCAGCCGCGGUAAUACAGAGGGUGCGAGCGUUGUUCGGAAUUAUUGGGCGUAAAGGGCGCGUAGGCGGCGCGGUAUGUCACCUGUGAAAUCUCCUGGCUCAACUGGGAGCUUGCAGGCGAAACUGCCGUGCUGGAGUGUGGGAGAGGUGCGUGGAAUUCCUGGUGUAGCGGUGAAAUGCGUAGAUAUCAGGAGGAACACCUGUGGCGAAAGCGGCGUACUGGACCACAACUGACGCUGAGGCGCGAAAGCUAGGGGAGCAAACAGGAUUAGAUACCCUAGUAGUCC